AGAAUAAAUUGAAAUCGAAUCGAAGACUAUAGUGUGGGUAGUGAGAACAAUCAGAAGAACGAAAGGGUAUAAAAUAUGCAGAAUAAAUAUAAACUAAGAGUAAAAGUAGAAGAAAAAUGUCGAGAUUAAACGAUGGUAUACAGCAAAUUGGUGCAAAUGUUUAUAUACAGAUAUAUAGCUGUACAAGACAUAUAGUGGAGUAUAUAGAGAUAACCUGAAUGCUAAGAACUGAUGGAGUAGGCCAAGGGGGCUGUUGCAGGCACAGCAGCAGUACUUGAAAAUAUGCGCGCAUGUAUUUAUGAGGCCAACCGACUGUCAGGCAAAUGAAAAGGCAGUGUGUGAAGGAAGGAGGGGAAUCAAGCACGACGGCAGGACGGGAGCGGUGGGCGAAGCAAAAAAAAAAAAAAAAAAAAACGAAUCAACGUAACAACUAGUGGUGGUAGCGAGAGUGGGAAACGUAAGGAGUGGAGCAGGGCAAAAGUGGGAACAAGUGAAUUACGGAACUGAAUGGCAAAAAAUCACAUUUGGGGGGAGGGAAGAAGACGGGUAUGGCGGUAGUUUGAUGGCAGUUAAAAGCGUUGGAGCGGUGGAGCGCUAGACCAUAAGUUGGGCGCUAAAACAAAUACACAUACACGCACAUACUUGCAUAGCUUGUAGACGAGGUAAUUAAAUAUAUCCGAGAGGAAAGAGUGUAUUGUAUGUGAGUGUGUAUGUUUGUAUGUAUGUAUGUAUUUAUGUCGAUUUGUAGUAGGCAUGAACGCAAAAGUUGUGUGAUGCGAUCGAAAGCGAGCAAAAAUGAAAUAAAGUAACAGGAAAAAAUCAUAUCACAAACAGCAAUCAACCAACCGAACAGUCAGUGGACAGUCUUAAAACAAAAUCAAGUACGGAAAAAAUAAUAAAAAUUCAUACGAGUGCCAAUCGUUUGCAAAUGUAUCCACUUGCAUGCAUGCUACAUACAUACAUACAUACAUACAAACGAGUAAAAUUGUAUCGCUUUGCAGCAACUGGCAACUGACGAGCAUGCAGCCAAGAGGGUGUGCAAGGAAGGCCAGGCAGGCGAAACAAAAAAAAAACAAAAACAACGAAACAAAAAGACAUCUGCAAACAGCACUUGGCACUCAGUGCAAAACAUUAAAUUGCAUGGGAGUAGUAGAGAGCGGUGCAGCGGGCUACCGAUAUUAGAGUCGCUCGGCUAUUUGGGGGCCGAGAGUAUAAGAAUGAGAGCGCAUACAUAUGCUGUGCAGAGGAACCAUUUGCGAAAAGUAAAAAAAAAAAAAAACAACCAAAAAAUAUCAGCAACAACAACAACAACAAAAACAAGUAGUGUUCAACGGGCGUUGCUAUUUCAAGAGGUUGCAGAGGGCUGCUAAGUGGUCGCGGGUUGGAUGAGGCGGUGUAUUUUAAUUGUGUUGUACUCGCAUUUACAUACAUACAUACAUACAUACAUACAUUCCUAAGUAGAUGCGAAUGUGUGUAUACUUAAAUUCGAAAACUUUGCCACGGUACAUGGAAAGUAUUUAAAAAAAAAAGCCACAUUUUCUUAAAGCGUUUCAUAUCUUUAAUUAGGUAAGUAUGUAUGUAAAUAUAUCUGUAUGUAUGUUUGUAGGUAUCUUUGCUUUAGUUUUAUUUUUAUGCUUGUAUUUUUAACGCUUCUCUUCGAAUAGUUGGUGAAAAUGAGACAAAAGUUGCUUAGUUAGGAUUGCAUUUUAAUAUGCACGAGUAAGUAGAUACAUAUGUACAUACAUAUCUUAUUUUCAAAUUCAAUUUGUUUAAUGUUGCUUAUUUAGUUUUUCACACUAAGGUGCGAAGAUUUAUCGGCUACGGCGAUUUAACUUAAUAAUUAUACUAUAUUCUCCAAUUAGGUUUGUUAUAUAUGCGUGGAACAAUAUGUACAAAUUCACAUACAUACAUACAUAUGUAUGUAUCUACUAUAUAUGUACACAUACAAUAUUCAAGAUAUUGUUUAUCAUAUCUACUUAUUACACACCUUUUGAAUAAUAAGCUAUAAUGAUAAUUUAAUAAUAUAUUAA
Molecule: non-coding RNA, 2030 nt
Organism: Bactrocera oleae (olive fruit fly)
Lineage: Eukaryota; Metazoa; Arthropoda; Insecta; Diptera; Tephritidae
Source: RefSeq, a predicted model, not a curated record